UAUGCACUCUACUGUAAGUCGCUCUGGAUAAGAGCUUCUGCUAAAUGACUAAAA
Non-coding RNA from Salmo salar (Atlantic salmon), 54 nucleotides. NCBI's taxonomy places the organism in Eukaryota, Metazoa, Chordata, Actinopteri, Salmoniformes, Salmonidae. The record is from Rfam.